This 450-nucleotide ribosomal RNA is filed under the name uncultured bacterium. RNAcentral's name for it is "partial 16S ribosomal RNA". It matches the Rfam family "Bacterial small subunit ribosomal RNA", at positions 354 to 796 of the family's 1533-position model. The record is from RNAcentral.
GUGAGGAAUAUUGGACAAUGGGCGCAAGCCUGAUCCAGCCAUGCCGCGUGCAGGAAGAAGGCCUUCGGGUUGUAAACUGCUUUUGUACGGAACGAAACGGUCCUGGUUAAUACCCGGGGCUAAUGACGGUACCGUAAGAAUAAGCACCGGCUAACUACGUGCCAGCAGCCGCGGUAAUACGUAGGGUGCAAGCGUUAAUCGGAAUUACUGGGCGUAAAGCGUGCGCAGGCGGUGCUGUAAGACAGGCGUGAAAUCCCCGGGCUUAACCUGGGAAUUGCGCUUGUGACUGCAGUGCUGGAGUGCGGGAGAGGGGGAUGGAAUUCCGCGUGUAGCAGUGAAAUGCGUAGAUAUGCGGAGGAACACCGAUGGCGAAGGCAAUCCCCUGGGCCUGCACUGACGCUCAUGCACGAAAGCGUGGGGAGCAAACAGGAUUAGAAACCCCGGUAGUCC